This 676-nucleotide ribosomal RNA is filed under the name Kurthia gibsonii. RNAcentral describes it as "bacterial SSU rRNA". It matches the Rfam family "Bacterial small subunit ribosomal RNA", at positions 55 to 717 of the family's 1533-position model. Lineage: Bacteria; Bacillati; Bacillota; Bacilli; Caryophanales; Caryophanaceae. The record is from RNAcentral.
AUGCAGUCGAGCGAAUGACGAGAAGCUUGCUUCUCUGAUUUAGCGGCGGACGGGUGAGUAACACGUGGGCAACCUGCCCUACAGAUCGGGAUAACUCAGGGAAACCUGGGCUAAUACCGGAUAAUCCUUCGAAUCACAUGUUUUGAAGUUGAAAGGCGCUUCGGCGUCACUGUAGGAUGGGCCCGCGGUGCAUUAGCUAGUUGGUGGGGUAACGGCCUACCAAGGCAACGAUGCAUAGCCGACCUGAGAGGGUGAUCGGCCACAUUGGGACUGAGACACGGCCCAAACUCCUACGGGAGGCAGCAGUAGGGAAUCUUCCACAAUGGACGAAAGUCUGAUGGAGCAACGCCGCGUGAGUGAUGAAGGUUUUCGGAUCGUAAAACUCUGUUGUAAGGGAAGAACAAGUACGUUAGGAAAUGAACGUACCUUGACGGUACCUUAUUAGAAAGCCACGGCUAACUACGUGCCAGCAGCCGCGGUAAUACGUAGGUGGCAAGCGUUGUCCGGAUUUAUUGGGCGUAAAGCGCGCGCAGGUGGUUUCUUAAGUCUGAUGUGAAAGCCCACGGCUCAACCGUGGAGGGUCAUUGGAAACUGGGGAACUUGAGUGCAGAAGAGGAUAGUGGAAUUCCAAGUGUAGCGGUGAAAUGCGUAGAGAUUUGGAGGAACACCAGUGGCG